UCAUGAACAACGCAAAUAAUCAACAUUCUUCUCAAAAAGCGUUCCUACGAGGUUUACUUCUAGUUGCCUAUGAAGUACGGAAAUCGUCAUAGAGAAUGGAGAUCAAAUGUGACUUCGGUUGCAUGGUGUCGAUCUUGGGUGCAGUGUCUUCCUCUUGCUAAGUGGAAGGGAUUGCAAUGAUUGACUCCACAU
RNAcentral lists this small RNA (192 nucleotides) under Paecilomyces variotii No. 5. RNAcentral's name for it is "Byssochlamys spectabilis No. 5 A. fumigatus sRNA Afu_182". It matches the Rfam family "A. fumigatus sRNA Afu_182". Lineage: Eukaryota; Fungi; Ascomycota; Eurotiomycetes; Eurotiales; Thermoascaceae. The record is from Rfam by way of RNAcentral.